UAAUUCGAUGCAACGCGAAGAACCUUACCUACUCUUGACAUCCAGAGAAGCCGGAAGAGAUUCUGGUGUGCCUUCGGGAGCUCUGAGACAGGUGCUGCAUGGCUGUCGUCAGCUCGUGUUGUGAAAUGUUGGGUUAAGUCCCGCAACGAGCGCAACCCUUAUCCUUGUUUGCCAGCGAGUAAUGUCGGGAACUCCAGGGAGACUGCCGGUGAUAAACCGGAGGAAGGUGGGGACGACGUCAAGUCAUCAUGGCCCUUACGAGUAGGGCUACACACGUGCUACAAUGGCGCAUACAGAGGGCGGCGAGCCAGCGAUGGUGAGCGAAUCCCAAAAAGUGCGUCGUAGUCCGGAUUGGAGUCUGCAACUCGACUCCAUGAAGUCGGAAUCGCUAGUAAUCGUGGAUCAGAAUGCCACGGUGAAUACGUUCCCGGGCCUUGUACACACCGCCCCGUCACACCAUGGGAGUGGGCUGCAAAAGAAGUAGGUAGUUUAACCUUCGGGGGGACGCUUACCACUUUGUGGUUCAUGACUGGGGUGAAGUCGUAACAAGGUAGCGCUAGGGGAACCUGGCGCUGGAUCACCUCCUUAU
Molecule: ribosomal RNA, 589 nt
Filed under: Vibrio sp. ES.051
Lineage: Bacteria; Pseudomonadati; Pseudomonadota; Gammaproteobacteria; Vibrionales; Vibrionaceae
Description: bacterial SSU rRNA
Rfam family: Bacterial small subunit ribosomal RNA
Source: RNAcentral